AGUGAUGGAAUUUUAAACCAUAAAAUAGUAUAAUAACAAAUACUUUUAGUGA
RNAcentral lists this transfer RNA (52 nucleotides) under Chrysochus chinensis. Its description in RNAcentral is "tRNA-Lys". Lineage: Eukaryota; Metazoa; Arthropoda; Insecta; Coleoptera; Chrysomelidae. The record is from RNAcentral.